RNAcentral lists this unclassified non-coding RNA (234 nucleotides) under plant metagenome. Its description in RNAcentral is "partial contains small subunit ribosomal RNA and internal transcribed spacer 1". The stretch from base 1 to 47 matches the Rfam family "Eukaryotic small subunit ribosomal RNA", at positions 1785 to 1831 of the family's 1831-position model. The record is from RNAcentral.
AAUGUCGUAACAAGGUUUCCGUAGGUGAACCUGCGGAAGGAUCAUUAAAUGAGUAAGGGUUGCUCAGCGCCCGACCUCCAACCCUUUCGAUGUUAAAAGCUACCUUGUUGCUUUGGCGGGACCGCUCGGUCUCGAGCCGCUGGGGAAUUCGUCCCAGGCGAGCGCCCGGCCAGAGUUAAACCAAACUCUUGUUAUUUAACCGGUCGUCUGAGUUAAACUUUUGAUAAAUCAAAG